Molecule: ribosomal RNA, 373 nt
Filed under: uncultured organism
Description: partial 16S ribosomal RNA
Rfam family: Bacterial small subunit ribosomal RNA
Source: RNAcentral
GAAGGGGCUAGCGUUGUUCGGAAUUACUGGGGCGGUAAAGCGCAUGCAGGCGGAUCGCUAAGUCGGGGGUGAAAGCCCGAGGCUCAACCUCGGGAACUGCCUUCGAUACUGGCGAUCUUGAGUCCGGGAGAGGUGAGUGGAACUCCGAGUGUAGAGGUGAAAUUCGUAGAUAUUCGGAAGAACACCAGUGGCGAAGGCGGCUCACUGGCCCGGUACUGACGCUGAGAUGCGAAAGCGUGGGGAGCAAACAGGAUUAGAUACCCUGGUAGUCCACGCCGUAAACGAUGGAUGCUAGCCGUCAGCCAGCUUGCUGGUUGGUGGCGCAGCUAACGCAUUAAGCAUCCCGCCUGGGGAGUACGAUCGCAAAGAUUAA